AAUCAACGCUGGCGGCGUGCCUAACACAUGCAAGUCGAACGCGAAAAACCCCGCAAGGGGUUAGUAGAGUGGCAAAACGGGUGAGUAACGCGUGGGUGACCUGCCUUCGAGCGGGGGAUAACGUUUCGAAAGGAACGCUAAUACCGCAUAACAUCCCGCCCUUGAACGGGUGGAGAUCAAAGCUGGGGAUCGCAAGACCCGGNACUUGAAGNGGGGCCCNCGUCUGAUUAGCUAGUUGGUGGGGUAAACGCNCACCAAGGCAACGAUCAGUAUCCGGCCUGAGAGGGC
Molecule: ribosomal RNA, 288 nt
Filed under: uncultured bacterium
Lineage: Bacteria
Description: partial 16S ribosomal RNA
Rfam family: Bacterial small subunit ribosomal RNA
Source: RNAcentral